GACGAACGCUGGCGGCGUGCUUAACACAUGCAAGUCGAACGGUGAAGAAGAGAAACGCGAACUUCGGUUCAAAUUUCACUUCGGAUUAGUGGCAGACGGGUGAGUAACGCGUGAGCAACCUACCUCUUACAAAGGGAUAGCCUCGGGAAACCGUGAUUAAUACCAUAUGACACAUUCAUAAGGCAUCUUAAGAAUGUUAAAGCUACGGCGGUAAGAGAUGGGCUCGCGUCCCAUUAGCUAGUUGGUGAGGUAACGGCCCACCAAGGCGACGAUGGGUAACCGGCCUGAGAGGGUGAACGGUCACAUUGGAACUGAGACACGGUCCAAACUCCUACGGGAGGCAGCAGUGGGGAAUAUUGCACAAUGGAGGGAACUCUGAUGCAGCGACGCCGCGUGAGCGAUGAAGGAAUUCGUUUCGUAAAGCUCUGUUCUAUGGGAAGAAAAGGACUGUACCAUAGGAGAAAGCCCCGGCUAAAUACGUG
Molecule: ribosomal RNA, 482 nt
Filed under: uncultured bacterium
Lineage: Bacteria
Description: partial 16S ribosomal RNA
Rfam family: Bacterial small subunit ribosomal RNA
Source: RNAcentral